Long non-coding RNA from Bubalus bubalis (water buffalo), 1761 nucleotides. RefSeq lists it as uncharacterized. NCBI's taxonomy places the organism in Eukaryota, Metazoa, Chordata, Mammalia, Artiodactyla, Bovidae. The transcript has 3 exons. The record is from RefSeq and is a predicted model, not a curated record.
CUGAUUCACGUGGUUGUCCAGCAGAAACUUACACAAUCUUGUAAGUAUACUCCAAUAAAAAUAAAAUAGAAAAAAAUGAAGUCAAAUAAAAAAAAAAAAAAAAAGAAAGGGACCUCUGUCCCCGACUGCAGGAUACACAAAAGCCAGAUUGUCAAUAUUUAUCUGGAGAGCCCAGGCUCUGGAUUAAUCUGGCCUAAAGAUAAUACAAAUAGCACUUUGAUGUGACUUGAGAAAUGUAUUAAUUCAUUCAACAAGCAUGUGCUUGUUGGGUUCUGGGCCAAGCCCCAGGCCGGGCACUGGGGAUCUGGGGUAGAUCACCCCCGACUCUGCCCUGGAGAGGCCCACGGUCUAGGAAGAGAGAGGGGAGGCCCCCCGGAAUGCAAUAAGAUGGCAGGUGGGGGCCUGCUCCGUCCCAGCUGAAAUUCCUCCUGAGAAAAACCAGAAUGGUGUCAGCUCAAAUAAGGGCUCGAGGGAUUGGCAAAUGCGGGGGCGGGAGGGGCUAGGGAGGGCCACACGCACCGUGGCGGUGGCCACCAGCUCAGGAAGCCAAGGGGUCAGGGCAGUGUGCAAAAGCAGAGGCCACGUCCGCAGGGUCUGAUAAAAGACGGGAGGCACCUCCCCUCCAGAAAGCCCUUCCCAUCCGGUUUGAUUCUCCCUUGCCCUGAGGUGCGGAACACCAGGUACAAGUCAACAAAACGUGCAAAGCAACAAGGAGAUAAAACAGAUUGCGAUCUCCUGUGUGGCGGGCGCAGAGCGUCUGCACGGGACAACACCACGGGGUGGCCCCCGCCCCGGUGGGGAUGUAGGGGCUCCUGCCUGCAGAGCUCAUCAGUUUCCUGUUUCCAGCACCCGCUGCGUGGGGCAAAAAGGAGAGAUUUGGUGGCAGUGGUGGGAUCCAAGAUGGCCUUCUGAUUGCAUUCAUGGACAAUGAGAAAGACAGGCGUGGUGCCGGCAAACCCCUUUUUGACUGGACUGUCCUUUCUCACCAUUUCUGAGGCCAGAGGAAGUUCAUCAUGUUCGUGAGCUCUGCUUUCUUUGCAUCAAGCGCCUGGUCUAAUUGGUUUUCUGCCUCUAGUCACCAAGCAAAUCCCCCUAAGACUGGACCUCAGAAGAGGAACAAAGCAAAUGAUUGACUGAAAAAUGGUGAGCCUGGAGUGGUGACCUGUGGAUAGCACACAGAUUCAGCAACAAAGCAGCAUCAGCAAAAGCGGUGAGAACUACAGAGCAAUAGGUGAGUGGUGCUGAUGCCUUAAAUUCUGAUCCCAUUUCUCAGUUAGGCUGAGAGUUUGAUCAAAGUGGAAUUGUUGAAAAGAAACAACAGGUCCAAAAUGGAGUCACUUAUGCUAAGCGCCACCAAGACUUACUACCUAGCCUGAUGACAUCACUGACUCAAUGGACAUGAAUUUAAGCAAACUCCAGGAGAUAGUGGAAGACAGAGGAGCCUGGUGUGCUGCAGUCCACGGGGUCACAAAGAGUCAGACAUGACUUAGCAACUAAAAAGCAACAACGAUUAUAAUUUCAGCCUUUCUCAAGAGUGGUGUUUUAAACCAAUCAGUCUGGAAUUACUUGGUGAGCACUAGUAAGGAAAUCUGCCUAAGAUUCCCUGACUUCCCCUAAGGGAAGAUAACCCUGCCUAACUAGUCCCUUGGACUCCAAGGAGAUCAAACCAGUCAGUCCUAAAGGAAACCAACCCUGAAUAUUCAUUGGAAGGACUGAUGUUGAAGCUGAAGUUCCAAUACUUUGGCCACCUGAUGCGAAGAG